This 1080-nucleotide ribosomal RNA is filed under the name Salmonella enterica subsp. enterica serovar Infantis. RNAcentral's name for it is "partial 23S ribosomal RNA". It matches the Rfam family "Bacterial large subunit ribosomal RNA", at positions 711 to 1781 of the family's 2925-position model. Lineage: Bacteria; Pseudomonadati; Pseudomonadota; Gammaproteobacteria; Enterobacterales; Enterobacteriaceae. The record is from RNAcentral.
AGACCCGAAACCCGGUGAUCUAGCCAUGGGCAGGUUGAAGGUUGGGUAACACUAACUGGAGGACCGAACCGACUAAUGUUGAAAAAUUAGCGGAUGACCUGUGGCUGGGGGUGAAAGGCCAAUCAAACCGGGAGAUAGCUGGUUCUCCCCGAAAGCUAUUUAGGUAGCGCCUCGUGAAUUCAUCUCCGGGGGUAGAGCACUGUUUCGGCUAGGGGGCCAUCCCGGCUUACCAACCCGAUGCAAACUGCGAAUACCGGAGAAUGUUAUCACGGGAGACACACGGCGGGUGCUAACGUCCGUCGUGAAGAGGGAAACAACCCAGACCGCCAGCUAAGGUCCCAAAGUCAUGGUUAAGUGGGAAACGAUGUGGGAAGGCCCAGACAGCCAGGAUGUUGGCUUAGAAGCAGCCAUCAUUUAAAGAAAGCGUAAUAGCUCACUGGUCGAGUCGGCCUGCGCGGAAGAUGUAACGGGGCUAAACCAUGCACCGAAGCUGCGGCAGCGACACUCAGGUGUUGUUGGGUAGGGGAGCGUUCUGUAAGCCUGCGAAGGUGGCCUGUGAGGGUUGCUGGAGGUAUCAGAAGUGCGAAUGCUGACAUAAGUAACGAUAAAGCGGGUGAAAAGCCCGCUCGCCGGAAGACCAAGGGUUCCUGUCCAACGUUAAUCGGGGCAGGGUGAGUCGACCCCUAAGGCGAGGCCGAAAGGCGUAGUCGAUGGGAAACGGGUUAAUAUUCCCGUACUUGGUGUUACUGCGAAGGGGGGACGGAGAAGGCUAUGUUGGCCGGGCGACGGUUGUCCCGGUUUAAGCGUGUAGGUGUGUGUUCCAGGUAAAUCCGGUUCACUUUAACACUGAGGCGUGAUGACGAGGCACUACGGUGCUGAAGCAACAAAUGCCCUGCUUCCAGGAAAAGCCUCUAAGCAUCAGGUAACAUCAAAUCGUACCCCAAACCGACACAGGUGGUCAGGUAGAGAAUACCAAGGCGCUUGAGAGAACUCGGGUGAAGGAACUAGGCAAAAUGGUGCCGUAACUUCGGGAGAAGGCACGCUGACAUGUAGGUGAAGUGAUUUACUCAUGGAGCUGAA